Molecule: ribosomal RNA, 499 nt
Filed under: uncultured Lachnospiraceae bacterium
Lineage: Bacteria; Bacillati; Bacillota; Clostridia; Lachnospirales; Lachnospiraceae
Description: partial 16S ribosomal RNA
Source: RNAcentral
CACGUAUUUAGCCGGAGCUUCUUAGUCAGGUACCGUCAUUUUCUUCCCUGCUGAUAGAGCUUUACAUACCGAAAUACUUCUUCACUCACGCGGCGUUGCUGCAUCAGGGUUCCCCCCAUUGUGCAAUAUUCCCCACUGCUGCCUCCCGUAGGAGUUUGGGCCGUGUCUCAGUCCCAAUGUGGCCGUCCACUCUCUCAAGCCGGCUACUGAUCGUUGUCUUGGUAGGCCGUUACCCUGCCAACUAACUAAUCAGACGCGGGCCCAUCCUGUACCACCGGAGUUUUUCCUGCUGUACCAUGCGGCACUGUAGGCUUAUGCGGUAUUAGCAGCCGUUUCCAGCUGUUGUCCCCCUGUACAGGGCAGGUUACCCACGCGUUACUCACCCGUCCGCCACUCAGUCCUGCGCAUCUUCCCUCCGGAGAGUUCCGCCGCGCAGUCUUCGUUCGACUUGCAUGUGUUAGGCACGCCGCCAGCGUUCAUCCUGAGCCAGGAUCAAACU